RNAcentral lists this ribosomal RNA (253 nucleotides) under uncultured bacterium. Its description in RNAcentral is "partial 16S ribosomal RNA". It matches the Rfam family "Bacterial small subunit ribosomal RNA", at positions 524 to 776 of the family's 1533-position model. The record is from RNAcentral.
UACGUAGGUGGCGAGCGUUGUCCGGAUUUACUGGGCGUAAAGGGAGCGUAGACGGCGAUGCAAGCCAGAUGUGAAAGCCCGGGGCUCAACCCCGGGACUGCAUUUGGAACUGUGUGGCUGGAGUGUCGGAGAGGCAGGCGGAAUUCCUAGUGUAGCGGUGAAAUGCGUAGAUAUUAGGAGGAACACCAGUGGCGAAGGCGGCCUGCUGGACGAUGACUGACGUUGAGGCUCGAAAGCGUGGGGAGCAAACAGG